RNAcentral lists this ribosomal RNA (460 nucleotides) under uncultured bacterium. RNAcentral's name for it is "partial 16S ribosomal RNA". It matches the Rfam family "Bacterial small subunit ribosomal RNA", at positions 338 to 795 of the family's 1533-position model. The record is from RNAcentral.
CCUACGGGAGACAGCAGUGAGGAAUAUUGGUCAAUGGGCGAGAGUCUGAACCAGCCAAGUAGCGUGAAGGAUGACUGCCCUACGGGUUGUAAACUUCUUUUAUAAAGGAAUAAAGUGAUCCACGUGUGGCUUUUUGUAUGUACCUUAUGAAUAAGGAUCGGCUAACUCCGUGCCAGCAGCCGCGGUAAUACGGAGGAUCCGAGCGUUAUCCGGAUUUAUUGGGUUUAAAGGGAGCGUAGAUGGGUUGUUAAGUCAGUUGUGAAAGUUUGCGGCUCAACCGUAAAAUUGCAAUUGAAACUGGCAGUCUUGAGUACAGUGGAGGUAGGCGGAAUGCGUGGUGUAGCGGUGAAAUGCUUAGAUAUCACGAAGAACUCCGAUUGCGAAGGCAGUUCACUAAACUGCCACUGACAUUGAGGCUCGAAAGUGUGGGUAUCAAACAGGAUUAGAUACCCGGGUAGUC